RNAcentral lists this ribosomal RNA (460 nucleotides) under uncultured bacterium. RNAcentral describes it as "partial 16S ribosomal RNA". It matches the Rfam family "Bacterial small subunit ribosomal RNA", at positions 338 to 795 of the family's 1533-position model. The record is from RNAcentral.
CCUACGGGGGGCUGCAGUGAGGAAUAUUGGUCAAUGGGCGCGAGCCUGAACCAGCCAAGUCGCGUGAAGGAUGACUGCCCUACGGGUUGUAAACCUCUUUUGUCAGGGAAUAAAGUGAGGCACGUGUGCCUUUUUGUAUGUACCUUAUGAAUAAGCAUCGGCUAACUCCGUGCCCGCAGCCGCGGUAAUACGGAGGAUCCGAGCGUUAUCCGGAUUUAUUGGGUUUAAAGGGAGCGGAGGUGGGUUGUUAAGUCAGUUGUGAAAGCGUGGGGGUCAACCGUACAAGUGCAGUUGAAACUGGCAGGCUGGAGUACAGUAGAGGUAGGCGGAAUUAGUGGUGUAGCGGUGAAAUGCGUAGAUAUUACGAAGAACUCCGAUUGCGAAGGCAGCUUACUGGACGGCAACUGACACUGAGGCUCGAAAGUGUGGGGAGCAAACAGGAUUAGAUACCCGUGUAGUC